This is a long non-coding RNA of Lemur catta (Ring-tailed lemur), 512 nucleotides long. RefSeq lists it as uncharacterized. NCBI's taxonomy places the organism in Eukaryota, Metazoa, Chordata, Mammalia, Primates, Lemuridae. The transcript has 4 exons. The record is from RefSeq and is a predicted model, not a curated record.
CUGGAGUCUAUUGUAGCAAGGGGAUGGUAGGAUUUCAGACUAACAGAGGCCUCAGACAGACACUUAACUGGCAGAAGCAAAUGUGAGUCUGAAGAAACCAUUGCCUGCAGGAAAUGCUGGGACUCCAUGAAAUAGGAACUACCACAUUAUGCCACAUUCUCAGCCUGGGCGCCUUCAUCUCCCUCUAACUUCAAAGGAAUCUCUGCGUGAAGAGGGAGGGCUCACAAUAGAAGAAUUGGUCCGAUUAUCCCCCUCUGUUUGGAAAUGGGUAAAGAUUACAGAUGUUUUCUUCUUUCUGUGCUAUCUGUCUGUAUGGUGAUUCAGAGGGACCCAAUGACCAGAAGAAGGUACAUCAUUUCCAGCACACUGGCAGGAGAUGAAGAGCUGCUAGGUGGCAGCCAGAGACUGAACAGAGAUUGUUGAAGGAUGGAAGAAGAAAAUGAUAUAGGCUGUCACUGCAUAUAUUUUUUUGCAUUAAAUUAUAAACAAUACACUGUUAAUAUUUAAAUCAG